UGCCAGCAGCCGCGGUAAUACGGAGGGGGUUAGCGUUGUUCGGAAUUACUGGGCGUAAAGCGCACGUAGGCGGACUAUUAAGUCAGGGGUGAAAUCCCGGGGCUCAACCCCGGAACUGCCUUUGAUACUGGUAGUCUAGAGUUCGAGAGAGGUGAGUGGAAUUCCGAGUGUAGAGGUGAAAUUCGUAGAUAUUCGGAGGAACGCCAGUGGCGAAGGCGGCUCACUGGCUCGAUACUGACGCUGAGGUGCGAAAGCUAGGGUAGCAAACGGGAUUAGAUA
RNAcentral lists this ribosomal RNA (279 nucleotides) under uncultured bacterium. Its description in RNAcentral is "partial 16S ribosomal RNA". It matches the Rfam family "Bacterial small subunit ribosomal RNA", at positions 506 to 784 of the family's 1533-position model. The record is from RNAcentral.